Molecule: ribosomal RNA, 252 nt
Filed under: uncultured bacterium
Lineage: Bacteria
Description: partial 16S ribosomal RNA
Rfam family: Bacterial small subunit ribosomal RNA
Source: RNAcentral
UACGGAGGAUGCGAGCGUUAUCCGGAUUUAUUGGGUUUAAAGGGUGCGUAGGCGGACUGUCAAGUCAGCGGUAAAAUUGAGAGGCUCAACCUCUUCCCGCCGUUGAAACUGGUGGUCUUGAGUGGAUGAGAAGUACGCGGAAUGCGUGGUGUAGCGGUGAAAUGCAUAGAUAUCACGCAGAACUCCGAUUGCGAAGGCAGCGUACCGUCAUCCAACUGACGCUGAGGCACGAAAGCGUGGGGAUCAAACAGG